This 114-nucleotide ribosomal RNA is filed under the name Mycobacterium tuberculosis variant bovis. Lineage: Bacteria; Bacillati; Actinomycetota; Actinomycetes; Mycobacteriales; Mycobacteriaceae. The record is from RNAcentral.
UACGGCGGCCAUAGCGGCAGGGAAACGCCCGGUCCCAUGCCGAACCCGGAAGCUAAGCCUGCCAGCGCCGAUGAUACUGCCCCUCCGGGGUGGAAAAGUAGGGCACCGCCGAAC